ACGGUCUUGCUGUCACUUAUAGAUGGACCCGCGCCGUAUUAGCUAGUUGGUGGGGUAACGGCCUACCAAGGCGACGAUACGUAGCCGACCUGAGAGGGUGAUCGGCCACACUGGAACUGAGACACGGUCCAGACUCCUACGGGAGGCAGCAGUAGGGAAUCUUCCGCAAUGGGCGAAAGCCUGACGGAGCAACGCCGCGUGAGUGAUGAAGGUCUUCGGAUCGUAAAGCUCUGUUGUUAGGGAAGAACAAAUGUGUAAGUAACUGUGCACAUCUUGACGGUACCUAACCAGAAAGCCACGGCUAACUACGUGCCAGCAGCCGCGGUAAUACGUAGGUGGCAAGCGUUAUCCGGAAUUAUUGGGCGUAAAGCGCGCGUAGGCGGUUUUUUAAGUCUGAUGUGAAAGCCCACGGCUCAACCGUGGAGGGUCAUUGGAAACUGGAAAACUUGAGUGCAGAAGAGGAAAGUGGAAUUCCAUGUGUAGCGGUGAAAUGCGCAGAGAUAUGGAGGAACACCAGUGGCGAAGGCGGCUUUCUGGUCUGCAACUGACGCUGAUGUGCGAAAGCGUGGGGAUCAAACAGGAUUAGAUACCCUGGUAGUCCACGCCGUAAACGAUGAGUGCUAAGUGUUAGGGGGUUUCCGCCCCUUAGUGCUGCAGCUAACGCAUUAAGCACUCCGCCUGGGGAGUACGGUCGCAAGACUGAAACUCAAAGGAAUUGACGGGGACCCGCACAAGCGGUGGAGCAUGUGGUUUAAUUCGAAGCAACGCGAAGAACCUUACCAAAUCUUGACAUCCUUUGACCGCUCUAGAGAUAGAGUUUUCCUCUUCGGAGGACAAAGUGACAGGUGGUGCAUGGUUGUCGUCAGCUCGUGUCGUGAGAUGUUGGGUUAAGUCCCGCAACGAGCGCAACCCUUGAACUUAGUUGCCAUCAUUCAGUUGGGCACUCUAAGUUGACUGCCGGUGACAAACCGGAGGAAGGUGGGGAUGACGUCAAAUCAUCAUGCCCCUUAUGAUUUGGGCUACACACGUGCUACAAUGGACAAUACAAAGGGCAGCGAAACCGCGAGGUCAAGCAAAUCCCAUAAAGUUGUUCUCAGUUCGGAUUGUAGUCUGCAACUCGACUACAUGAAGCUGGAAUCGCUAGUAAUCGUAGAUCAGCAUGCUACGGUGAAUACGUUCCCGGGUCUUGUACACACCGCCCGUCACACCACGAGAGUUUGUAACACCCGAAGCCGGUGGAGUAACCAUUUUGGAGCUAGCCGUCGAAGGUGGGACAAAUGAUUGGGGUGAAGUCGUAACAAGGUAGCCGUAUCGGAAGGUGCGGCUGGAUCACCUCCUUUCUA
RNAcentral lists this ribosomal RNA (1343 nucleotides) under Staphylococcus pseudintermedius. Its description in RNAcentral is "bacterial SSU rRNA". It matches the Rfam family "Bacterial small subunit ribosomal RNA", at positions 202 to 1533 of the family's 1533-position model. Lineage: Bacteria; Bacillati; Bacillota; Bacilli; Caryophanales; Staphylococcaceae. The record is from RNAcentral.